CAGUAGCCGCGGGAAUACGUAGGGUGCAAGCGUUAAUCGGAAUUACUGGGCGUAAAGCGUGCGCAGGCGGUUUUGUAAGACAGAGGUGAAAUCCCCGGGCUCAACCUGGGAACUGCCUUUGUGACUGCAAGGCUAGAGUACGGCAGAGGGGGAUGGAAUUCCGCGUGUAGCAGUGAAAUGCGUAGAUAUGCGGAGGAACACCGAUGGCGAAGGCAAUCCCCUGGGCCUGUACUGACGCUCAUGCACGAAAGCGUGGGGAGCAAACAGGAUUAGAUACCCGCGUAGUCCCUGUCUCUUAUAC
RNAcentral lists this ribosomal RNA (301 nucleotides) under uncultured bacterium. Its description in RNAcentral is "partial 16S ribosomal RNA". It matches the Rfam family "Bacterial small subunit ribosomal RNA", at positions 509 to 807 of the family's 1533-position model. The record is from RNAcentral.